RNAcentral lists this ribosomal RNA (1454 nucleotides) under uncultured organism. RNAcentral describes it as "bacterial SSU rRNA". It matches the Rfam family "Bacterial small subunit ribosomal RNA". The record is from RNAcentral.
AGAGUUUGAUCCUGGCUCAGGAUGAACGCUGGCGGCAGGCCUAAUACAUGCAAGUCGAACGGUAACAGGUUCUAAAGCAAUUUAGAAUGCUGACGAGUGGCAAACGGGUGAGUAAUACAUAUGAACUUUCUCUAAGAAGAGGAUAGCCAGUCGAAAGAUUGGGUAAUACUCUAUGUGGCCGAAAGGUUAAAGUUUAAUACGCUUAGAGUGAGGCAUAUGCCCCAUCAGCUAGUUGGUAAGGUAAUGGCUUACCAAGGCUAAGACGGGUAGCUGGACUGAGAGGUUGAUCAGCCACACUGGGACUGCGACACGGCCCAGACAUCUACGGAUGGCAGCAGUAGGGAAUUUUCCGCAAUGGGCGAAAGCCUGACGGAGCCAUGCCGCGUGCAGGAUGACGGCCCUAUGGGUUGUAAACUGCUGUGGUAGCCUACCAAAAAAAUGAGGAGGCUAUUAGAAAGAGGUUGCUAACUCUGUGCCAGCAGCAGCGGUAAUACAGAGACCUCGAGCGUUAUCCGGUAUCACUGGGCGUAAAGCGUACCGAUCGGUUGUUUAGUGUGUCUAAAGUGAAAGACCGAAGCCUAACUUCGUGUUUGCUUUAGAAACUACUAAACUUGAAGGGCAAAGAGGUGGUUGGAACUCUGCAAGUAGGGGUGAAAUCCGUUGAUAUGCAGGGGAACACCAAAAGCGAAGGCAGACCACUAGGUGCCUCUUGACACUGCUAGGACGAAAGCGUGGGGAGAGAACGGGAUUAGAUACCCCGGUAUUCCACGCCCUAAACGAUGAGUGCUAGUUUUUGGGGAAAGUCAAUCUUCCUCGGAGACAAAGCUAACGCAUUAAGCACUCCGCCUGUAGAGUACGAGCGCAAGCUUAAAACAUAAAGGAAUUGACGGGAACCCGCACAAGCGGUGGAUCAUGUGGCUUAAUUCGAUAAUAAGCGAGGAACCUCACCUAGGUUUGACAUGCAACUGCACGACUAAUGAAAGUUAGUUUCUUUCGAAGGUGUUGCACAGAUGAUGCACGGUCGUCGUCAGCUCGUGUCGUGAGAUGUUCGGUUAAGUCCGGUAACGAGCGCAACCCCAAUCCUUAGUUAUUUAAUGUCUAAGGAGACUGCCCGAGCUUAAUCGGGAGGAAGGCUGGGAUGACGUCAGAUCAGCGUGUCUCUUACAUCUAGGGCGGCACACAUGAUACAAUGGGUAAGGUACAACGGGACAGCAAAAGGGUGACCUGAAGCAAAUCCUAAAAAACCUCCCUCAGUACGGAUCGAAGUCUGCAACUCGACUUCGUGAAGCUGGAAUCGCUAGUAAUCGCGGAUCAGACUCGCCGCGGUGAAUACGUUCUCGGGUUUUGUACACACUGCCCGUCACGCCCUGGGAACUGGGAGAGCCCCAAAACUCUAUCUUGUAUGGAGUCGAAGGCUAGUCCAAUGACUGGGUUGAAGUCGUAACAAGGUAACC